UACGUAGGGGGCAAGCGUUGUCCGGAAUUAUUGGGCGUAAAGAGCGCGUAGGCGGUCCGAUAAGUCGGCUGUGAAAGUCAGGGGCUCAACCCUUGAAAGCCGGCCGAUACUGUCGGACUAGAGUCCGGAAGAGGCGAGUGGAAUUCCCGGUGUAGCGGUGGAAUGCGCAGAUAUCGGGAGGAACACCCGUGGCGAAGGCGGGUCCCUGGGACGGUACUGACGCUGAGACGCGAAAGCGUGGGGAGCGAACAGG
RNAcentral lists this ribosomal RNA (253 nucleotides) under uncultured bacterium. Its description in RNAcentral is "partial 16S ribosomal RNA". It matches the Rfam family "Bacterial small subunit ribosomal RNA", at positions 524 to 776 of the family's 1533-position model. The record is from RNAcentral.